Molecule: long non-coding RNA, 3578 nt
Organism: Neofelis nebulosa (Clouded leopard)
Lineage: Eukaryota; Metazoa; Chordata; Mammalia; Carnivora; Felidae
Exons: 7
Source: RefSeq, a predicted model, not a curated record
UCCAAGCCUGCAAGGCACCUUCCAGAAACCUCCGCUUGCCUUGGCCGGCUCACCCAGCGGUCUGUAGGCUGCUUAAGGGCGGGGGCUGGCGGGAGACAUCCUCGGAGCCCCCUGGGCCGUCUCACCGGAAGCCACAGACCCUGCCUGUACUUACCGAACAGGACCAGAAGAAGGUUUUGUCUCCUUUGUCAAACCCGAUUGAUUUGAAGUGGCUGUUUGGAGCUCGCUGUGGAGCAGGAAUUGGAAUGGCGUCUCAGCUGACCGCGGGGGUCCUGAAGAGGCGCUGUUGGUCCGCCCAGGGUCCAGCUCCGUGUUGAGCAGAGAGAGACACGUUGGACCAUCAACCUUCUUUCUCCCUCCAACGUGCCCGCCCGCUUCUCGUCCCGCUCGGCCCCCUGCACGGAUCCAAAUCUGCCGCCAGGCAUUUCAAUUUUUAAGGGUGGACUUUCUUGAGUGGGAGCCCUCAAGCAUCUUUAAACAGCUCUGAGCAGCAGGACCCAGCUCUGCCAGCCUUUGAGGACACAAGGCUCCAUAAGACACAGAUGUGUGUGUUUCCAGUGAAGGAGGCAGGCAUCGAAAGGAAAACUGGUGAUAUCAAGUGAUAAAUGCUAAACAGCCCGUGAAGGGACCCAGAGGAAGUGCUAAUUACCUGUCUAGGAGCAGAAGAGGUGCCCGUUGUCUGAUGGUGAGGUUGGCGGUGACGAGGGUGGUGAUAACAGCUCCUAGACCUCCUACUGGGUGCCUGAUCCCAUGCUAGACACAGGAAUGAGAGCAAGAAAAGGAAAGUAAAAAAACGUGUUCCUGUCAUCUCCACUCUGCACCAGGACGUCCUUCCUCCCGCGCUGUCUCCCUCCCACUGCGCCGCGAGGUAGCCCCCGCCUCCCCUGUCCUCACUCCUCUCCCCAAACCCCAGCCACGAGCGGUUCAUGAGUCUGGGGGUGGUGCUUCUGUGUUUCCGGCCGAAGGAAGGUCAGUCUGCCUGUCUCACCCCAUCUUCUACACAUUGCUACUUGGCUGAGGACAGGUGAGGGCAGAGAAUUGGGACAGGCCCAGGGGCACCUCCUCCGUGAAGCACCCCCAGGUUAUAGGGAUCCUGUGCACCCUCUUGGGGCCCCUUAUUCACUGUUGCUUUUUAUUCAUUGCCCGUGGUGCGCCUUCCUCCAACGACGGCAGCUUCCAGACCAGACUGGCCAGGGCCCUGCAUUUCCCCCCGCUCAAAGCAAAGUACUAGGCUUAAGACACAGUCCCUGGAUCUCUUGGAAUCUGCUUGAAGUUGCAAGAUCCCUGAUGUUUGGAACAGCUGCCUAUCUCUCAACGGGGAUAAAUGUUAAGUUUCCACACUUGGGGCCAAACACCAAUCGUACAAUUUGCAGUUGGAGAUGUGGCCUACCAGCAGCUUGUGUGGAAGAGGACUGAGGAGGUUUUGUUAAUAACGUACGCGGUCUGAGUCAACGGCGGCCACUGAAAACGCUAACGCCAAAUCAGGCCGCGUCAACGGGUAUUUUAUGGCCACAGGAAGGAGAGGAGGCCCUGAAGCCACGGUCACUGCAAAGCUGCAACAGGUCUGGAGAGAGAGAGACUGGAGUAGGUUCAGAAACAAAGUGAAUAGGACAGAGCAGGCAGCUCUUCGAGGUAGAAUUUGACAUCACGAAGGGCCAAGCCCCAAGCAGUCAAUGGACCAGAUGUGGCUGGCUAGGGAAAUGAAUUUGGACCCGAUAUAAACUUAACACUUGGACCAGAUGAGCUUGAAGGUCACUUCCACCUUUAAAAGUCCGUAGUUUGGGGUGUCUCUCCUAAAGCCCGAUUACGUCCUUUCCACAACCGCUCAGAACACAAUAUUUCUGACGAGAGGGACAAUAUGGCUGGUUCUUCAUAAAGAGCUUCUGGACAGUGGCUUUGUGGCAUCUUCUGUCAUCCGAAAGGUGAAAUGAUAGCAUUUGAGUUGAAAAUGAAAAACCAUGUGGCAUGGUCAGGAGAAUCUGUCAGGGGGAAAGCUGCCUGUCUACCUACCCACCAUGUCACUGAGCUGGCCCAGGCCAGAGUGAAAUGAUAAUGGGUCUGGGGCGGGAUUCAUUGAGCGAGGUAAAAUAAAGCAUAAAAGAGAAAACCCCAAAUAAACAAGGUAUAUCUUUAAUGCUUUGGACACUUAGCUACCUCAGCGUCUACACCUGGACACAUUCUGCAAAACAUGUGAUGAGGAGCUGUUCUACAGCCCACCCCAUUGUCCACCGUCAGUCUGGUUGCACAGACUUCAGACCGCAAAGGCCUCUCAGACCAUUGCAUAUGGCGCCUUCGUCGCAGAGAGGAAGUACAGUCGCACAGGGAGGUGAACGUGGCCCAGCUGAGCUGGGAAAUGGAAGUGAGGUCCCUGGAUUCCUGACCCCCAUGUGCCUUCACCUUUCCUCGCUCCCCCCACACAGCGAGCACGGCACUCAUCCAUCAGUGAAGUAAAUGGCAUCUGUUAAUCACAUGUAUGUGCCGGGCUUUGCGCUACAGCUUGUAAUGUGAUUAUAAGACACAGUCUCCAUUGUGAAGGUACCCAGGAGCCCAAGAGCUGGGGAAAGACGUUCCUACCGAACAUUUGUGAGUGAUCUGUACCCAUCACGCUGCCUGCCUUCCAGAGCUGCAAAGACCAUUUGAGGGAUUUGGGUCCCGGGUCAGAUGGGACCCCACACACUUUCGGGAUAUUCUCUAAAAGGAAUAUUCUUACCACUAGUUACACAUAUUUCAUGCACUCAAGACCUUUAGCGAAAGCAAAAUUCGGUCGGGCAUUUAAAACUAUUCCCUAUGAUUGUAUUUGCCCGACUCCAUUUUUUUUCCUUGCCUGACUUCUAUUUUAUACAUUAUCCUAAGGAUACUUGUAAUCCAUAUUAUUUUCCCACAGUCUGCCGGGGGGGUGGCAGAGAGGACAAAGGACAGGUGUCGGGGGCAUGCCACUAGCCAUCUGGGCAACAUCAGAGAAAUCUCCCAGCCCUACUAAGCCCCAAAGAUUCGUCAGAAACAGUGGCUAAAACUGUGUUCUGCGUACCCCACAGGUUUGUUGUAAAGAGCAAGCAAAAUCGUGUAGGGUGAAAGUAUCCUGGAAAGUCUAAAGCAGCAUUCAGAUGUAAAGUAUUAAACUCUCUGCCCUUUUCCCUUGUUUCCCUGAAGUCACAUUCAGUGUUUGGCUUGGGUCUGCUGGCAGAAAGCACUUACAAUGGCGAAUGGGGUCAAGGCUUCCGAGCACAUCCGAACAAGAGCUGCCAACACUAUUUCUUUAAAAAUAAGGAAGUGGUCCUGUCCUUGGAGAAGGGAAUAGGGAGCGCUUGCAAUGUGGCAUCCCGCCUGCUCCCAGUUCACUGUGCCAAAGCGCCUGGCAAGUCCAAUCUAGUUCCCUUCGGCCCAGGGAUUGAGGGGGCCCCCAGAGAAUCCCGCGGAACUGACCGUGCGUGGGGGGACUUACUCUGUGCUAUUUUCCUCACCUGUGAUAUUGGGAUAACCAUUGUCUCCCCCCCCCCCCCAUAGGGGCUGCUGUAAAGAUUCAACGAGUUAACUGUGCGACCAAACCCGGCACGAAAUAAAAUGUUCGAUAAAUGUUA